RNAcentral lists this long non-coding RNA (273 nucleotides) under Ananas comosus (pineapple). RNAcentral describes it as "long non-coding RNA (ACOM_LNC017372)". The record is from RNAcentral. Lineage: Eukaryota; Viridiplantae; Streptophyta; Magnoliopsida; Poales; Bromeliaceae.
UUUUCAAAAUAGCCUCUAUAGUUGUUGUCAUUUGUUACUAAGAAAGCCUUUUCAAGUUACCAUAUUUUUUCUCAUUAUAUUUCACAAAUUAAUUUAUUAUUUGUUAAUACUUAAUGACCCACCAUCUUUCUUUCUAAAACUGCAUCUUAUUUAGUAACUGUCACGAGACAUUAAUUAUAUUAUUUAUAUUUUUAAAAUUUUAUUCAUUCUUAAAAUUACUUCAAGUUAUAUAUAUAUAUAUAUAGUAACUCCUAAAUAUUUUGGUCCUAUAAU